RNAcentral lists this ribosomal RNA (601 nucleotides) under uncultured bacterium. Its description in RNAcentral is "bacterial SSU rRNA". It matches the Rfam family "Bacterial small subunit ribosomal RNA", at positions 185 to 804 of the family's 1533-position model. The record is from RNAcentral.
AUCGCAUGAUCCGGUGUGAAAAACUCCGGUGGUAUGAGAUGGACCCGCGUCUGAUUAGCCAGUUGGCAGGGUAACGGCCUACCAAAGCGACGAUCAGUAGCCGACCUGAGAGGGUGACCGGCCACAUUGGGACUGAGACACGGCCCAAACUCCUACGGGAGGCAGCAGUGGGGAAUAUUGCACAAUGGGGGAAACCCUGAUGCAGCGACGCCGCGUGAGCGAAGAAGUAUUUCGGUAUGUAAAGCUCUAUCAGCAGGGAAGAAGAAUGACGGUACCUGACUAAGAAGCACCGGCUAAAUACGUGCCAGCAGCCGCGGUAAUACGUAUGGUGCAAGCGUUAUCCGGAUUUACUGGGUGUAAAGGGAGCGCAGGCGGUGCGGCAAGUCUGAUGUGAAAGCCCGGGGCCUAACCCCGGUACUGCAUUGGAAACUGUCGUACUAGAGUGUCGGAGGGGUAAGUGGAAUUCCUAGUGUAGCGGUGAAAUGCGUAGAUAUUAGGAGGAACACCAGUGGCGAAGGCGGCUUACUGGACGAUAACUGACGCUGAGGCUCGAAAGCGUGGGGAGCAAACAGGAUUAGAUACCCUGGUAGUCCACGCCGUA